AUUUUUAUAGUUUAAAUAAAACAUAGCUCUGAAAAAGCUAUAAUAAAUAAUAUUAUUAUUUUAAAAAUA
This 69-nucleotide transfer RNA is filed under the name Neoseiulus californicus. RNAcentral describes it as "tRNA-Phe". The record is from RNAcentral. Lineage: Eukaryota; Metazoa; Arthropoda; Arachnida; Mesostigmata; Phytoseiidae.